RNAcentral lists this transfer RNA (65 nucleotides) under Barbatia decussata. RNAcentral's name for it is "tRNA-Asp". The record is from RNAcentral. Lineage: Eukaryota; Metazoa; Mollusca; Bivalvia; Arcoida; Arcidae.
UCUAGCUUAGUUUAAUUAAAACGUUGGCCUGUCUAGUCGGAGAUACAAUAAGGUUGUAGUUAGAU